Molecule: ribosomal RNA, 254 nt
Filed under: uncultured bacterium
Lineage: Bacteria
Description: partial 16S ribosomal RNA
Rfam family: Bacterial small subunit ribosomal RNA
Source: RNAcentral
UACGGGGGGAGCAAGCGUUGUUCGGAUUUACUGGGCGUAAAGGGCGCGUAGGCGGCCUGUGCAAGUCAGUUGUGAAAUCUCCGAGCCUAACUCGGAACGGUCAACUGAUACUGCUCGGCUAGAGUGCGGAAGGGGCAACUGGAAUUCUUGGUGUAGCGGUGAAAUGCGUAGAUAUCAAGAGGAACACCUGCGGCGAAGGCGGGUUGCUGGGCCGACACUGACGCUGAUGCGCGAAAGCUAGGGGAGCGAACGGG